RNAcentral lists this ribosomal RNA (274 nucleotides) under uncultured bacterium. RNAcentral's name for it is "partial 16S ribosomal RNA". It matches the Rfam family "Bacterial small subunit ribosomal RNA", at positions 523 to 796 of the family's 1533-position model. The record is from RNAcentral.
AUACGGAGGGGACUAGCGUUGUUCGGAAUUACUGGGCGUAAAGAGUUCGUAGGCGGACUGAUAAGUAAGAGGUGAAAUCCCAGGGCUCAACCCUGGAACUGCCUUUUAAACUGUCAGUCUAGAGACCGGAAGAGGUUAGGGGAAUACCUAGUGUAGAGGUGAAAUUCGUAGAUAUUAGGUGGAACACCAGUGGCGAGGGCGCCUAACUGGUCCGGUACUGACGCUGAGGAACGAAAGCGUGGGGUGCAAACAGGAUUAGAAACCCUAGUAGUCC